UACGAAGGGGGCUAGCGUUGCUCGGAAUCACUGGGCGUAAAGGGCGCGUAGGCGGUUUGUACAGUCAGACGUGAAAUUCCUGGGCUCAACCUGGGGGCUGCGUUUGAUACGUGCGGACUUGAGUUCGGAAGAGGGUCGUGGAAUUCCCAGUGUAGAGGUGAAAUUCGUAGAUAUUGGGAAGAACACCGGUGGCGAAGGCGGCGACCUGGUCCGAUACUGACGCUGAGGCGCGAAAGCGUGGGGAGCAAACAGG
RNAcentral lists this ribosomal RNA (253 nucleotides) under uncultured bacterium. RNAcentral's name for it is "partial 16S ribosomal RNA". It matches the Rfam family "Bacterial small subunit ribosomal RNA", at positions 524 to 776 of the family's 1533-position model. The record is from RNAcentral.